Molecule: transfer RNA, 73 nt
Organism: Ovis aries (sheep)
Lineage: Eukaryota; Metazoa; Chordata; Mammalia; Artiodactyla; Bovidae
Rfam family: tRNA
About the family: Transfer RNA (tRNA) molecules are approximately 80 nucleotides in length.
Source: Rfam
UCCCUGGUGGCUCAAACGGUAAAGCAUCCCGCUUACAAUGCGGGAGACCUGGGUUCGAUCCCUGGGUCGGGAA